CAUCGGGGGAAAUGGGCCUUAGUACGGCGAGUGAGCGGCAAAAGCUCAAAUUUGAAAUCUGGCACCUUCGGUGUCCGAGUUGUAAUUUGAAGAAGGUAACUUUGGAGUUGGCUCUUGUCUAUGUUCCUUGGAACAGGACGUCACAGAGGGUGAGAAUCCCGUGCGAUGAGAUGCCCAAUUCUAUGUAAAGUGCUUUCGAAGAGUCGAGUUGUUUGGGAAUGCAGCUCUAAGUGGGUGGUAAAUUCCAUCUAAAGCUAAAUAUUGGCGAGAGACCGAUAGCGAACAAGUACAGUGAUGGAAAGAUGAAAAGAACUUUGAAAAGAGAGUGAAAAAGUACGUGAAAUUGUUGAAAGGGAAGGGCUUGAGAUCAGACUUGGUAUUUUGCGAUCCUUUCCUUCUUGGUUGGGUUCCUCGCAGCUUACUGGGCCAGCAUCGGUUUGGAUGGUAGGAUAAUGACUAAGGAAUGUGGCUCUACUUCGGUGGAGUGUUAUAGCCUUGGUUGAUACUGCCUGUCUAGACCGAGGACUGCGUCUUUUGACUAGGAUGUUGGCAUAAUGAUCUUAAGCCACCCGUCUUAACCACGGGGACCAAAAAAAAAAAAAUAAAUUUUUUUUUUUUUUUCUUCUCCUCUUCUUUUGCCCGGCAAAUCGGAAUACGCUGUGGUUAUGAGAUGCAAACCUGGGAAGAGG
This 689-nucleotide ribosomal RNA is filed under the name Debaryomyces hansenii. Its description in RNAcentral is "partial large subunit ribosomal RNA". The stretch from base 1 to 584 matches the Rfam family "Eukaryotic large subunit ribosomal RNA", at positions 56 to 664 of the family's 3401-position model. Lineage: Eukaryota; Fungi; Ascomycota; Pichiomycetes; Serinales; Debaryomycetaceae. The record is from RNAcentral.